Molecule: long non-coding RNA, 682 nt
Filed under: Triticum aestivum (bread wheat)
Lineage: Eukaryota; Viridiplantae; Streptophyta; Magnoliopsida; Poales; Poaceae
Description: long non-coding RNA (TAES_LNC000557)
Source: RNAcentral
CUCUCCACUUUGCAGAUUUGCCCCAUCUUAACAAUUUGAACCUUGACAACAACCUCCUCUCGGGCGGAAUCCCAUCAAGCAUUGGUGCUCUUGCCAAGCUCGAAUACUUGGAUCUGUCUAGCAAUAAUCUGAAUGGAUCUAUCCCAACAUCCCUACGUAAUUUUACUAAACUAACCUCCAUCGAUCUCUUUUAGUGAAACUUGUUUCUACCAUGCCUAGUAAAGUAGGAGGACUAGGGAAUUUUAUGAGCCUCUCCACUUUGCAGAUUUGCCCCAUCUUGUCUAUUUGAACCUUGGUAACAACCACCUCUCAGGCGGAAUCCCAUCAAGCAUUGGUGCUCUUGCCAAGCUCGAAAACUUGGAUCUAUUCUUCAAUAUUCUUAAUGGAUCGAUUGGAAGCAUAGGAAAUCUAACGAAUUUAUAUUACCUAGAUCUUUCCAACAACCAGAUCACGGGUUCCAUUGGAAGCAUAGGAAAUCUAACAAGUUUAGAAUUCUUGGAUCUUUCAAACAAUCAAAUAAAUGGUUCCAUCCCUUCGACAUUCUCGAAAUUGAUCUCUGUGAGAACACUAUCACUUAAGUCCAAUCAGCUUAAUGGAAUGUUACCGCCAGAAUUAGGAUCUCUUGUUCUUCUCUCACAUAUGGAUCUAAGUAGAAAUCAAUUUUCAGGAAGUAUUCCACCUC